Folsomia candida is the source of this 1809-nucleotide RNA transcript. RefSeq lists it as uncharacterized. The transcript is spliced from 8 exons. The record is from RefSeq and is a predicted model, not a curated record. Lineage: Eukaryota; Metazoa; Arthropoda; Collembola; Entomobryomorpha; Isotomidae.
AUUUGCAAAGAUGGCUGGUUUAGCAGCCCUGAUGACCCGUAAAAAACGGGACCGGAGAAGAGAAUUGGAACAGAUGAAGGAAAAGUUGGCCGAUCCUGUGGCACUUUCCGAGGUAUGAACUUAUCUUUUAGCUUGUAUACUUAGUGGAAAUAAAUAUGUAACCGUGCGAAUCAAUUAAACACUAAACAUCAUUCCAUGUUUUGUUAUUGUAGUUUAUAGAUGAUGAUGUUAUAGCAGUACUGUAAUAGCAGCCAAGUAAAAAAAAGUGUUGUUUUGUAGUGCCUGGUUGUUACCUCCUCCUACCUGUAGCGUGUCUGUCGUAGGUAGUCGCAAAUAAGCAAUAAGUAUUUAUCCUCUAAUAUUCCUCCUCUAUUGUUGUGUCCGCCUUGUCAACGCUUUUGUGCAUACAUACAAAUUAUAAUACACAAACUGAAAAGUCAUGGCGGCCGUAAUUGGGUCCAUGUUGAACCGGAAGCAAGGGAGCAAGCGGAAGGGUCAACAGCAACAGCGGCGUCCUUUGGAUCGCUCCGAAUUACAACCCCACAGAGCCAACAUCACGAUCAAACCUUUCCCCCAAUUUCCCCCAAAAUGGUUGACCGGAAAAGAAGCGGAGGAAGCAAUGAAGGCAAAAGCGGCGCAUGAAACGAUUAAAAAAAUUCUCAUUGGGAAAGAGUUACUUCAUCAAAAAUCGAAGCAAAGUUUCGAUGCCCUGAGUCAAAUCUCGUAUAAUGAUGAUGAAGAUUCUGGAAAAGGGGGAUUAAGCAAUGCGUACUCGGCAAUUUAUAUCGGUCUCAUAUUAAUAUGCAUAGGAAUAGUCAUUACGUUCGUGGGCCUUGGAGAAAAGGGAUUCAAGACAUUACAACUUAAGCUUAUCGGCCCAAUUCUCUGCAUCAUUGGAUUAACUUGUAUCGUUUUGAAAGUUAUUCAGUGCACAUUUCCCAACCUGUUUGUCAUACCGAUGGCAUUUAGAAGGAAAAAGUUGGGAGACAAAGAGAAGACAAGUUUAAUGGAGAAAGGGGACAGUAAACAUUCUAGUGGAAAAAGCAGGAAUUCACGAAGUAAGACGAAAAAGGGGGCAAAUAGCGGGGAGGAAAAUGAAGAUGGCGAAAAGAAUAAUAAACACGAGAACAAUUCACAAUCCACGCCGAAAAUCAUCCCAUCGCCGCGAGUAACGUUGCAAUCGUCCAAAAAAUCUGUCCGGCCACGAUCCACGAUACCAAACUAUAUCGAAGCCAGCUCGGACGAGGAUGACUUUGACCCGCAGAGAAAGUGGAGAAAAUCUGACACUGCUUUGAACCAGGAAGUCAGGAAAAUAAUGCAGGUCGAGCCCUUGUCAGACGUGGACGCCAUAAUACAAAAUAUGACUCCGGCAUCCAUUAAAAAGAAGUCGGCAACUCCGCCAGCUCUACUUUCCUCUGGAGAAAGUGGCGCUGGGGAGAAUGUAAAAAAUCAGAAAAAGUCGAUGAAAGAGGACGAAAUUGUUUUAAAUCCGAGAGGCCUUCUUCUCUAAAGAUGCAAAAGUGGAAGACAUUUUUGGUGAGAUGAGAUAAAAUGACACAGAAAAUGAUGGGCAAUAUCUAAUUCAGAUAAUAUGUACAAUUAAUUGCAUUGUAUUAUUCUCGUAAAUUGUUGAUAUGUAUAUAUUGCAAAUUCCAUGCACAGAAUCGUAUAUGCAUUUACUAUUAAAAAAAGUCUAUUCGCAUCUUGUUCAUCACUUACUUCAACUUAAGUGUAAACCUUAUAAAUAAUUGUAAAUGUUAUUUAUUCAUGUAAAGUAAGACAUAAAUAUAAUAAAAAGAGAAUAAUUAA